RNAcentral lists this ribosomal RNA (497 nucleotides) under uncultured bacterium. RNAcentral's name for it is "partial 16S ribosomal RNA". It matches the Rfam family "Bacterial small subunit ribosomal RNA", at positions 28 to 507 of the family's 1533-position model. The record is from RNAcentral.
GAUGAACGCUGGCGGCGUGCCUAAUACAUGCAAGUCGAGCGAACAGAUGAGGAGCUUGCUCCUCUGACGUUAGCGGCGGACGGGUGAGUAACACGUGGAUAACCUACCUAUAAGACUGGGAUAACUUCGGGAAACCGGAGCUAAUACCGGAUAAUAUAUUGAACCGCAUGGUUCAAUAGUGAAAGACGGUUUUGCUGUCACUUAUAGAUGGAUCCGCGCCGCAUUAGCUAGUUGGUAAGGUAACGGCUUACCAAGGCAACGAUGCGUAGCCGACCUGAGAAGGUGAUCGGCCACACUGGAACUGAGACACGGUCCAGACUCCUACGGGAGGCAGCAGUAGGGAAUCUUCCGCAAUGGGCGAAAGCCUGACGGAGCAACGCCGCGUGAGUGAUGAAGGUCUUCGGAUCGUAAAACUCUGUUAUUGGGGAAGAACAAAUGUGUAAGUAACUAUGCACGUCUUGACGGUACCUAAUCAGAAAGCCACGGCUAACUACGUG